UACGAAGGGUGCAAACGUUGCUCGGAAUUAUUGGGCGUAAAGCGCACGUAGGCGGCUUUGUAAGUUAGAGGUGAAAGCCCAGGGCUCAACCCUGGAAUUGCCUUUAAGACUGCAUCGCUAGAAUUGUGGAGAGGUAAGUGGAAUUCCGAGUGUAGAGGUGAAAUUCGUAGAUAUUCGGAAGAACACCAGUGGCGAAGGCGACUUACUGGACACAUAUUGACGCUGAGGUGCGAAAGCGUGGGGAGCAAACAGG
RNAcentral lists this ribosomal RNA (253 nucleotides) under uncultured bacterium. RNAcentral's name for it is "partial 16S ribosomal RNA". It matches the Rfam family "Bacterial small subunit ribosomal RNA", at positions 524 to 776 of the family's 1533-position model. The record is from RNAcentral.